This 274-nucleotide ribosomal RNA is filed under the name uncultured bacterium. RNAcentral's name for it is "partial 16S ribosomal RNA". It matches the Rfam family "Bacterial small subunit ribosomal RNA", at positions 523 to 796 of the family's 1533-position model. The record is from RNAcentral.
AUACGGAGGGUGCAAGCGUUGUUCGGAAUUACUGGGCGUAAAGGGCGCGCAGGCGGUUUGGUAAGUCAGAUGUGAAAGUCCAGGGCUUAACCCUGGAAGUGCAUAUGAAACUGUCAGACUUGAGUAUCAGAGGGGAAAGUGGAAUUCCCGGUGUAGAGGUGAAAUUCGUAGAUAUCGGGAGGAAUACCGGUGGCGAAGGCGACUUUCUGGCUGAAUACUGACGCUGAGGUGCGAAAGCAUGGGGAGCAAACAGGAUUAGAAACCCCAGUAGUCC